RNAcentral lists this ribosomal RNA (551 nucleotides) under uncultured archaeon. RNAcentral describes it as "bacterial SSU rRNA". It matches the Rfam family "Archaeal small subunit ribosomal RNA", at positions 326 to 879 of the family's 1478-position model. The record is from RNAcentral.
CGGGGUGCAGCAGGCGCGAAACCUUCGCAAUGCGCGAAAGCGUGACGAGGUUAGUCCGAGUGGCCUCCGCUGAGGAGGUCUUUUGUCGGCUGUAAAAAGGCCGGCGAAUAAGGGGAGGGCAAGUCUGGUGUCAGCCGCCGCGGUAAUACCAGCUCCUCGAGUGGUCGGGGCGAUUAUUGGGCCUAAAGCAUCCGUAGCUUGUUCCGUAGGUCCCCUGCAAAAUCCAACUGCUCAACGGUUGGUCCGCAGGAGAUACCGCGGGACUAGGAGGCGGGAGAGGUGGACGGUACUCCACGUGUAGGGGUAAAAUCCUUUGAUCCGUGGAAGACCACCAGUGGCGAAGGCGGUCCACCAGAACGCGCUCAACGGUGAGGGAUGAAAGUUGGGGGAGCGAACCGGAUUAGAUACCCGGGUAGUCCCAGCCGUAAACGAUGCGAGCUAGAUGAUCCGGUCGCAAAUCGCGAUCGGAGUGUCGCAGGGAAGCCGUUAAGCUCGCCGCCUGGGGAGUACGGUCGCAAGGCUGAAUCCGAAAGGAAUUGGCGGGGGAGCAC